CUGUCCUUUAAGGGACUGCUCUGUCCAGCGGGAGAGUGUGAAUGGGCCAGGCAGGGUGCGUGAGAGCCCUCUGCAAUUGCCCGCAGCACCACUUAGACAUGGCCUGCGAAGAGCCACCAGAACUGUCACUGUGUUCUCUUCUCGUCGCCUUUCUGAUAGGUCUCAAAAGCUGAACUGCUCUGAAUUCACGUGCCAAAGCAGGAGCUAAUUUUCCUGACUCCAUGCCCCGCACUCAGCUGUCGGUCCUGCCUGCAAUGCCCAAAGCAGAUGUUGCCGUGGAGGAGCCUGGCUGAGGAGAGACAUGGUUCCGUUCUCCCCGAGCAGGCGGCGGUGCCAGCUGGGAUGCCCGGAGCAGCCCGUCGCUGUCCUGGCCCUGGGAGCUCAGGUUGAUGGACCUUUCUGCAGCCAGAUUUGAAACAGCCAGAUUCCAGCAUAGACCAAAGUCCCUAGGAUUCACACGUGAUUUCCAGGAAGGCUUCUUUAAGGUCUGCUGGUUUCAGGCUGGAGUAUUUUUUUACAGUCUGCAUUAUAAGAAAACCUGCGUGUGAAGAAAGGAAGAAGUAAAUGGAAAACAAACUAUAGGCGUGGCCAUUAAUUCUUCUGGGGAGAGGACGGCCUGCCUUCUGCAAGUGUCCAGACCUGCUGCGGGAUAUGCGAGGUUCUGUGGUCAGCAGUAAUUCCGGGGGGUCUGCUGCUGUCCCCGCAAGAGCCCUCCGUCUUCGGCAGCCUGUUCCUUUGUGCUCCUUCCAUGAGGGAGCAGCUGAAAUCAUGAACGAAACAUCGCCAGUAUUGAAGAGGACUCCUGGCAUCCGCCCCUGCAGAAGAAAUCAGUGUAUUGUUCAUUAAAGAUACCCACACUCAUACAGGGAACAUGUUCCAGGGGGGCUGUGGCUGCCCCCUCCCUGGAAGGGCUCAAGGCCAGAAUUUCAUAUUUACCAAAAUAGAUCUCCUUGCGCAUGUGAUGAAAUAUUUAAUUCCAAACACAAGUAUAAGAUAAGUGCAGCUGGAGUGGAUCUUGACUUGCAUCAAGAAAUCAAAGCAGGCACAAAGGGAAGAGCAUACGGCUCUCCCACCUGCAGCCGCUUUAUGGAGCCCAGCACUUCCAGCUCUCCCACCAUCUGUUCUGGCACCCAGGGACCUUCCCGGCCCAUGCGAGGCGCGGCUCCGUGCCCGGUGGGUUUGGUGCAGCAGCACUGUGUCUUACUGUGAUGAUUGUGUGGGGCGAGGAGCUGUGGCAGGAUGUGAAGGCAGCACACGCGGGGAGCUGCGGCGUGGACCUCGCUGCGUAAGUCAGCGCUGCGGGCUGGGAAAUGGACGUGGGCAGGUGUGGCCUUUGGAAAGGCUUCAGAUAGCUUUUUACCCAGCCUCACCAGAGGAAGGAAACUGAUUUAAAGAAAUCCAGAACAAGAUACUGUUCCAACUGGAAAAGAACAUUUGGAGGGCACACCAUCAUCAAGCUCUGACAACCCCCCCUGAGCCAGCCUGUCCGCCGAGCCCAGCCCGCGGGGAGCACCCAGCGCCCUGCAAGGUGGGCUCAGCCCAGGGCUCUUCCUCCGCUCUUCGCUCCGGCAGGAGGUGGUGCAACAAGAGGGACCUUCCCGUGUGCCUCCUCUGCUUUAUCCAUCCCACAACACCCCCGUGCACCAGUGGCAGGGAGCUCUCCUUGGCACAUUCUUGGCUCUGCACAUUAGAAUUAAUAUAAUUAAUUAUAUUAAUUAAUAGGAUUACUCAGGGAUCUUAAUCUUCUUAUACACUGUAAGUGAUUGCCACUGAGGAGCCUAUACCUGCACACCUCCACCCUAAAUGUGCCUGAGGAGCUCAGCACCCUUCUCUCAACUCCCUGUGCUGCAGACAGCCAGAGUUAAAGUCAAGCUUGUCUAAAUUCUGCCUUUCAAGUCCAGUUUAUGCUGCCCAAGCACACACUUUUAGAGGAGAAAAUGAGGAUAUAUGGUUAGAGGUUAAUACCAGCUUCUUACCACCCUCAACUGCGAUAGCAUUUUUUUGUGUAGAUGGCCUGUACCUUCCAUGUCCUGCUCAGAGACGGAUGCUCUCCAGAAACCCGCUCCUCGCCCAAGCAGAACAGCAGGCUACGGUGUCUUCUUCAGGAGGAACCCCUGUUCAACUGGGAUGCCCCAGACUCCCCCUGGGGCCAACCCAAGCUGCAGUAGAGCACAGAGAGGGCUGUUCAGGUCAGAAGACAGAACAAGCAUGAUCUCAUCCCCAUGCCAGUUUCUCAUAUUACAAAGUCACCACAAGACGUGACGAUGCAUUGUUCCUGCUGUGGGAGGAUGGAGCUGAGGGCUUGCCUGCACCACUUGGGAGAGCAAACUGGAAGGAACACACAUGCACAAGCAAUCUCGAGCAUCAUACUUCACCAUCAUCUUCAUCUCCUGCAGUUUGCUCUGACCUACGUGUGCUCGUCGAGGCCUCGAUGAUACGAUAAUCUUCCAACCGGACCAGACUAUGACUGGACAGAGUCAGCCCUAGGAUCACCCUGGGAAGAAACUCUGAUUCACCGAAGCACUGUACAGCCGUCAGACCAAGAAUUUUGCCCUGUGUGUCUGUCGCUGAAGGGAACUGCCUGCCACAGUCACCCUCAACCAGGGCAGGAGAGGGCAGGACUGUGCUCACCACUGCCCCGUCACUGCUGGCAAGGCGAGCUCCCCUGCUGAAACAGCACAAGGGCCACCCACACCCCGACAGUAACAUUUUCUCAUAACCCACAUCCCUUCCUUCAGAGAACUUCCAUUUAUAGUUCACAUCGUGUGCUCAGCUUGUUUUGCACUGGUUUACAUGGACCAGCAUUCAACCAGCAUCUCUAAAUAGUAAGGAUUAUCAGUGUACUUGCUGAUGAACACAGAAGCCAGCGUAAAAUGGACUCAUAUGCUCCUGUCUUGUUGACACCAGCUACAAAAGAAAGCCAGUUAUCACUUUUCCAACUCGGACUUUAUAUAUAAAGCUGACUUUGAACUACUGUAAAUGCUGACGGGUGGGGAGAGAGAGUCCUGACAUAGGGGACUAGUUCUGGUAAUGUAAAGCUGAAACACUGUUUUCUUACGGGACGCUCCUUGAGAACACAGUACCAGACAGGGCUUUUCUGCCCGCGCUGUCGCUGCAUUCCUGAUAAAAGCCUGUCACAAGCUCUCUCUGUGUCCUUUCAACCGAGCUUCUGAGAUCCACAACCACUAUCUUGGGAAUGGCAACAGCUAACAGAAAUGGGGUUUUGACUGCAUUGCACACAAAAGGAAGCAUGUUAGGAGCAACAGCAGUGGCAGUAAGAGCAGGGCAGGGGUGUCAAGAAGGGGAAGACUCCCUGCAGCCCCUGAGUGCCGCUGACCCGGACCUGUGUGUUCAGGAAGCUUUGCCUGCUGCCUGAUAGUGCACACGUAGUGCUGGACCCAUCCCGGUUACACCAGUCUCCUGUCUCCGAUAGCACCGCCCUUCGCUUUCUGGCCUCUGCCCUGGUGUUAGGAGGAAUCUGGUCGCUGUAGCACUGGGAGACAGGACCCGGGUGUCUGGGAGACUGGGUGUGCGCUGCGCAGGUCUGCGCGCUGGCGGGAGCGAGACUCCCCCCGGGAUAAGCCAGAGAUCUGGCUGCGCUGGAUCUGGACCUGGUUUGUAUCUGCCGCAAACACUGCGUAUGUCCUUCCACACGUCAGCCUGGCUGCUGUGGUACCACGUUUGCUGCAGAGCAAUGCCAACACUGCGCAGCCCAGCUCCUGUUCUGGGUCACAUGCUGUCAAAUUCAUCCAGACAUCAGUGAGAGUGUGACUGGGGUUGGGAGAAAACCCAACAACCACCCCCAUCUUUCUGUGAGAGGGAGUCACUGAGUCCCGACUGAUCCUCGCAGAGCCCACAGCUGCUCUUCUUGGGGACCACUCCAUAUCAAUAGUCUUUAAUGAUUUUCAGAGGCCUUAAUAGAAUAUAAGCCCCUAUGGUCUUAACUUGCAAAAUAUACAAGCUAAUUUUUAUCCAUUCAGAAUGACUAAUUUAUAAUGCAACUGAGAAAAAAAAUAAUCCUCCAAAUGAAAAUGCCUAUUAUAUCACUGCUUUUGCAAUGUAUUACUAAUGAGUUUCCACACUAUUUAACACCUUCAGGACAAUUCCACUGAUCAAACUCCUAAUGCAGAAUCUGCUAGGGCUUGCCAGGAAAUAGGCAAUUAUUAUAGAAAUCCUAGUAGUGAUUUUUUUUUAAAAUAUCGUGAUAUAUUUUUCAUUUAACCCAGAAGUAAGUUUGUACCACUUCCACCAGUUUGCUCCAACAAGCUUCAGAAUAUUAACUUCCCCAAAUGUUCUGUUUUCUCAUCUCAGGUUCCCAAGGCAGAACUCUGAAAGUGUUUUGAAUUUGCAGACACAGAUAUAUACUGCAGUCACUUCUGCAGCAUUAAUGAUGAAGGACAACAAACUGUGCCUGUUCUUUACAUCAAAUUUAUAAUGGAAGUGUUCCAUUAUAAAAUAAUUAUGAUACAAAAUGGAGAUCAUCAGAAACAACUAUUGUUUGUCUACUUCUAACACUUGUAUUUUUGCUGAGUAAUCCAUUUCAUUGAAAAUUCUAUUUCAGUGGAUUUCAGGGGAAUUAUUUAUGUAAGUUUUAAAACAAAAUUAACAGCACAAAAACGGAAACUUAUGUGAGCAGGAUUUAGGUUUAUAUUUGACGCAUCAUUUUAGUGCCUGACAGCAGGAGUGUUUCAGUAGGUGUGAAGUCACAGGCUUUUAUAGUACCUGCACAGUCUGAUGAGAAAAACUGGAAUUGGCCACAGCAGUAUUACCUUUUUGUAGAUAUUUUGUAUACAGCUUCCAUUUGGAACCAGAGAAUCUACCAAUCCACUCUCCACUACAAAACCAACAUUUGUGCUUUUGCAGAAAAGCUGUAGCUCUCGCAGAAUGCAAGCUUUAUGUAGCAUGUUUAUGCAAAAAAGCCCAGGGAACCAACUUUGGCUAAUCAGUGUCCCACCUGAUAUGGUAGCAAUAGAUCUGUCAAAAAUUACUCAGGACCUAAGUAUGUAGAAGUUCCCCCACACCUUUAUUUAUCUAGCUCUAAUCUUUGCUCUUGAAUGCAUGCUUAACCAGUAAAAAGGGGAAGAAAAGGCACUGCGGUUGUUGAAGUGAAAUGUGAGGGGCACAGACACAGGUUCACCUUUGAACCCGAGUAUCUCAUACAGAAAAAUGGCUGUUGUCCCAGGUAGUUAGAGAGCAGUCAUCACCAUUCCAAACAGUUGGGACUCCCUGGAAGGUCUAUUUAAAUAGGCCAUCUAAAUAUUAUUAUUAUAGAGCUGCAAUCGCUCUAAUGUGACUGUGACUGCUCUCUCAUCUUAAAAACAGACCAUCUUUCUACUCCACAAUUCCUCUUACUUUUAUGCUACAAAUAUUACAUAAGGACCUAUGCUUUAGGAACUCAGUCCUGCAAAAAGAUCUCUAACUAUAGAUCAAGUCAUGCCACAGGUUAUUUAAAGUAUCUGACUAGCUAUCUGAAAUUUGUGUACAUUCUCUUUUUGCUUAGACAAUAUCCAACCUUAAUGAAAAAAAUAAAUGUCCUGUCAUUAUUCAUGCUUUUAACACUGAGAGACAACUGACAUAGCUGGUAAAAAACCCGAACAAUUGUUUAUACAUGAAGAAAGUCAUUACUUACUGUUCAAAUAAGAAUUAUUCAAGAAAAUGAGCAACCUAGAUUCCAGGAAAUCCAGCAACGAAUCCCUGAAAUGUACCAUUAAAAUACACUCAUGCCAAACAGCAAGAUCUAAGACAUACAAAAUCUGUUGAAGAGAUGAGGAUUUUCUCCCCUAUUGAUAUUAGUCUUUACUUAGUAUGAGUUUAAAAGAUAUGAGUGAAUAUGGUGCUGAACCCCACAUAAAGUAUCUGAAACCCUUCACAUUGCUCUUUUAACUAGGUUAAAUGAAACCUGAUCUGGACUUCACUUGAUCCUAAGACUGGUAUGCUGAAAAUGCUCUAAUCUAUUUAUGCAUCAAAUUGAUGAAAUUGUGUGUCUUUAAAUUUCAUUGCAUUCCAGUGUAUUAACUAAAUAUCGACAGUUUACAAACUAUUUCAUGUUCAAACUGAGAAAGAAAAGACAGACCGAGCUAACUUAUUUAUCCUACAGCCAGAAUUUAUUUCCUGGCUUUUAAACUAUGGACUAAACCCAGGUCUGCUCUAUGCCUUCCCUAAAAGUGUUGUUCCUGCAGCAAUAAUUCAUUCCUAGUGCCAACACAUGGUAGUUGCCUUAUUGUGACCUCAAAAUGCAUGUUUUUUUCUCAGCAUCAAGAAUAUACUGCAAUCCCAAACUGGGUUUGGCGCUCAGAUUUGACUUAUACGUCUCUUCUUUCUGCCUCUAAGCCACAAACGAUUCAACAUGCAGCAGGGAGCAAGUAUGUAUGUAUGAGCUGUGUAAAUGGAACAGCCAGAUCAGAGAGGCGAAACCGCACAGGGGCUUAUUCCGCCCAGAACUAACUGACAAUAACUAGUCUGUGACAGCCCCAGACCCCCCUGGUGAAACAGUGGUCUUUAGACAACAGUUCUGUAUCAUGGUGUCAUUUCGCUAAAUUAUCUACAUAAUUCUGUAGCUGUGCACUAUGGUCUUUGACGCCUUAUGCUGAAUAGAGGCAAAGUCCUGCCCCGGACUGCUCUGUGUCAAACAGCGCGAUCAGGUGCAGCACAAGAUAGUAUGGAAAAGGUAAAGGUACCCGUCAUGAAGAAGAGCACAUUAUGCUAAAGACCUGUCCGUUGAUCUGUACAAAUGUUCAUCUUAACAGAUCUCAGUUAAGUAAAACACAGCUCCCACUGACAUUUAAUGGGUUCUGCCACUGACUUGAAAGGGGCCAGGAUCAGGCUAACAACAACUGAGAUUUUCUAACAUUUAUUCAUUUCUAUUUGCACUUUAAAUGUGUUUCCAUGUGUGUAACAGUUUCCAUUUGUUCUCAGUUGUUGGUCAUAUUAACUUUUUUUCAUUAGUUUUUGGAUUUAGUGCCUGUUAUUUUCCAUAUAGAAGACAAUGACCACUGCAGAGACAAAAAGAGCCAUUUUGUUAGGGUCAGGAAAGAGGAAAUUUCCAUGCUUUCUGUCACAUGAGACUUUAAGAAGAGCCUAAAGCUAAAUACUGCAGCUACUAUUUGCUGGUUCUCUUGAUAGUUAGUGGCCUUUAUAAAUGCAAAAAUCCUACUUAGACAUUCAAGUAACUCAUUUGCCCUUUUCUAUGCCCUUCUUCCCUCCAGCAAUCUGUAACCUGGAAUUUGUCUUCCAGGUCUCGAAGUCAAUGUCUUACAGCUUGAAAUUAAAAGGACUUGAAAUUCAAAUUACCAAUGCAUCUCAGUCCAGUUUGAGAUCGUUUGUGGUAAUUUAGAGGAGUUUUAAAAAUAAGAAUUUGGGUAAAUGUCUUACUGUCUAGCACCACUAGUUUAAUAAAAUGGAAAAUGUACAGUUUACAGUGAAGGAAAGGAAUUUCUGAUAUUAAUUCUGAUAUAUUCUGAUUAUUUUAAAAUUUAAGAUGUUAAUGCAGGAUCUUGAUACGAGUCAUCUGAAAGGGCCUGCACUCUUAAAAUACCAAACUGGUAAACCUCAAUUCACAUACAUGGAAGUUUAAUUUUUACUAACUCCUAAAUUUCUGCUAAAAUUUGAAAAGAACCUAGUGAUAAAUGAAUUGCUUAUCACUUGUCCAUUAUUGUGCCAGUAUGUUCAUACUUCUAAGACAGUAUCACACAGCUUGACCAAAAUUUAGGUCUCAGUACUCAACACACACAAAAAGUCAGGCAGGGCCCUGGAGGCUUCUCUGUGUCUGCAGACAAAGCAGGCUGAUAGAUGGGAGAGAUAAAAAAGAAGAGGCACAAAGAAGGAAAAAUAAUUUGUACAAGGCCACACCGCAGAUAAAUACCAAUUUAGCUGUAAAACUGAAGUUAAAAAAAUAAUCCCCUGAACUUUUCCCACUGACUUCCACACAAACAAUUUCAAUCUGGACUCCUGAUACCGGGGUAAAUGGCCUAUCUGUUAGAUCACGCUGCUUCCCCAGGCUAGUUUUUAAUCUUCAGCAAUAAUCACCUAAUGGUAUUAAGGCUAAGAAACCUGAACGCAUGAACUCUAGAUACCAAUAAGUAGUCCAAUCCCUCUGAUGAUUCCUACAGCUUUCUUUUUAAAAACAGUGUAUUUUUAAUGUUACUGUUAGGGAUUUUAAAAA
This is a long non-coding RNA of Athene cunicularia (burrowing owl), 8161 nucleotides long. RefSeq lists it as uncharacterized. NCBI's taxonomy places the organism in Eukaryota, Metazoa, Chordata, Aves, Strigiformes, Strigidae. The transcript has 12 exons. The record is from RefSeq and is a predicted model, not a curated record.